Molecule: non-coding RNA, 755 nt
Organism: Phascolarctos cinereus (koala)
Lineage: Eukaryota; Metazoa; Chordata; Mammalia; Diprotodontia; Phascolarctidae
Source: RefSeq, a predicted model, not a curated record
CAGACAGCCCCCACAGAGGGCAGAGAACUCAGGAAACAGGCUCUCUUUCCUUUGCCAGAAAACAUGACCCUGAGAGGACCUUGGGGCAGGCUACAGACUCUGGGGGCCUCAUUUCCCUUUGCCAGGAAAUUCAGCUCCUCAUAAUGAUCAGCUUCACCAGGGUUCUGUGGUGAUUAUGACAAGGCGAAGAAGAGUUCUGGGAGCAUCACAUAUGAAAGGUGCUAUUUUAAGUGCCAAGACGUUAUGACCAGCCCUGGGCCUGACAAGUACAAACCGAUACCUUGAAUCAUCACCUCUUCUCAGGAUUGAAUUUCACCCACUAAGGUGCUGGUUAAUCACACAGCAGUUAGGCCUUCGUGGACCACGUCACAGCUCCCUUGUAGCCUGUGUUUAACCACAGCAUCUUAGGAUAGGCAAGUUCUGGUCCAAGUCUCUGUAUCAAGGCAAGAUCACAUCUUUGUGUGAAGAAAUUAAUAACCUUAGAUUUUUGUUCCCCAGAACCUUUUUAAAUUAAAAAAAACAAAAGCAUUGAGGCCUUUGAUUUUUACAUUCCAGUCAUUUAUGGAAAUCAUUCCUUAGAAAUAUUUUUUUUUCUCCUUAUAACAAAGAAAAAUAACUAAGCAAAGACACUCAGCACAGUGACCAUGACUGGCAACAUACAAAACACUGUGCCUUAAUAAUCCCCUACUAACUUGUUUUCCCAGAUCUUAGUACAGUGCUUGGCACACAGUAAGCACUAAAUAAAAGUUUGUUGA